UACGUAGGGGGCAAGCGUUGUCCGGAUUUAUUGGGCGUAAAGAGCGUGUAGGCGGCCAAGUAAGUCUGCUGUGAAAACUCGAGGCUUAACCUCGAGCUGUCGGCGGAAACUAUUUGGCUAGAGUCCGGAAGAGGAGAGUGGAAUUCCUGGUGUAGCGGUGAAAUGCGCAGAUAUCAGGAAGAACACCCGUGGCUAAGGCGGCUCUCUAGUACGGUACUGACGCUGAGACGCGAAAGCGUGGGGAGCGAACAGG
RNAcentral lists this ribosomal RNA (253 nucleotides) under uncultured bacterium. Its description in RNAcentral is "partial 16S ribosomal RNA". It matches the Rfam family "Bacterial small subunit ribosomal RNA", at positions 524 to 776 of the family's 1533-position model. The record is from RNAcentral.